Molecule: transfer RNA, 76 nt
Filed under: Desulfonauticus submarinus
Lineage: Bacteria; Pseudomonadati; Thermodesulfobacteriota; Desulfovibrionia; Desulfovibrionales; Desulfonauticaceae
Description: tRNA_Gly_CCC
Rfam family: tRNA
About the family: Transfer RNA (tRNA) molecules are approximately 80 nucleotides in length. Their secondary structure includes four short double-helical elements and three loops (D, anti-codon, and T loops). Further hydrogen bonds mediate the characteristic L-shaped molecular structure. tRNAs have two regions of fundamental functional importance: the anti-codon, which is responsible for specific mRNA codon recognition, and the 3' end, to which the tRNAs corresponding amino acid is attached (by aminoacyl-tRNA synthetases). tRNAs cope with the degeneracy of the genetic code in two manners: having more than one tRNA (with a specific anti-codon) for a particular amino acid; and 'wobble' base-pairing, i.e. permitting non-standard base-pairing at the 3rd anti-codon position.
Source: RNAcentral
GCGGGUGUAACUCAGUUGGUAGAGUACAAGCUUCCCAAGCUUGGAGUCGCGGGUUCGAAUCCCGUCACCCGCUCCA